This 265-nucleotide ribosomal RNA is filed under the name uncultured bacterium. RNAcentral's name for it is "partial 16S ribosomal RNA". It matches the Rfam family "Bacterial small subunit ribosomal RNA", at positions 27 to 286 of the family's 1533-position model. The record is from RNAcentral.
GGAUGAACGCUGGCGGCGUGCUUGAUACAUGCAAGUCGAACGGAGAGUGUAGCAAUAUACUUUUAGUGGCGAACGGGUGAGUAACACGUGGGUAACCUGCCCAUAAGAGGGGGAUAACAUCCGGAAACGGGUGCUAAUACCGCAUUAGUUUUCUUGAUCGCAUGAUUGAGAAAGGAAGACGGCCUUUGUGCUGUCGCUUAUGGAUGGACCCGCGGCGUAUUAGUUAGUUGGUGAGGUAACGGCUCACCAAGACGAUGAUACGUAG